RNAcentral lists this ribosomal RNA (492 nucleotides) under uncultured bacterium. RNAcentral's name for it is "partial 16S ribosomal RNA". It matches the Rfam family "Bacterial small subunit ribosomal RNA", at positions 29 to 507 of the family's 1533-position model. The record is from RNAcentral.
AGUGAACGCUGGCGGUAGGCCUAACACAUGCAAGUCGAACGGCAGCACAGUAAGAGCUUGCUCUUACGGGUGGCGAGUGGCGGACGGGUGAGGAAUACAUCGGAAUCUACUUUUUCGUGGGGGAUAACGUAGGGAAACUUACGCUAAUACCGCAUACGACCUACGGGUGAAAGCAGGGGAUCUUCGGACCUUGCGCGAUUGAAUGAGCCGCUGUCGGAUUAGCUAGUUGGCGGGGUAAAGGCCCACCAAGGCGACGAUCCGUAGCUGGUCUGAGAGGAUGAUCGGCCACACUGGAACUGGGACACGGUCCAGACUCCUACGGGAGGCAGCAGUGGGGAAUAUUGGACAAUGGGCGCAAGCCUGAUCCAGCCAUACCGCGUGGGUGAAGAAGGCCUUCGGGUUGUAAAGCCCUUUUGUUGGGAAAGAAAAGCAGCAGGUUAAGACCCCGCUGUUCUGACGGUACCCAAAGAAUAAGCACCGGCUAACUUCGUG